Long non-coding RNA from Girardinichthys multiradiatus, 982 nucleotides. RefSeq lists it as uncharacterized. Lineage: Eukaryota; Metazoa; Chordata; Actinopteri; Cyprinodontiformes; Goodeidae. The record is from RefSeq and is a predicted model, not a curated record. The transcript has 3 exons.
CUAAUUAAGUGUGCUGUGAUUUAAGCACCUUACUCUGUAACAGCUGGAAUCCCAUUCAUAACUGAGUAAAAAUAAAAAAUAAAAAUUAAUUAAUGCUGAGAUGGUGGCGAUCAGCUGCAGCAAACCCUAAAUACAGAAGCCGACAGAACAAAUUUGGAAAUGUAUGUACCUCCAAAAUAUUCUUAAUGUUAUUUGCUGACAAAUUUUAUUUUGUGUUGCAUUUUCAUUUAUAAAGGUGGAGUUUUAGUUAAAAACAGUUUGGGAGCAAUAUCUCCUCUUUUCCUUUAUGUACGAAAUAUACGAGUUCAGGGUUCAGGAUGUGUGGCAGUUCUCUCUGUCUUCCUGGAGCUACAGGUUCACCUGGUGGGCGGUGCUGCAGGGCCUCUCACACGUGUGCCUAAUCACACUCACUCCUGGAGCUUAAAAGAAGCUGGCUGCCAGUCAUUCAACGCCUGAGAGUCAACCUUAACGGUUACUGCUCAAGUUCCUGCCAGGGAUCUUUUCCUGGUCACACGUGUCUGUCGUUCCACAAACAUUUCAUCCAGAGACCACACAGCUGUCAGUUCCCAUGACCGGCUUCUCAAGGCUUCUCUCCUGGCUUUGCUCAGUUUGGGUUAGUCACCUGUACGCCGGCCUAUUACAGACGCUUACUGCCAACACCCUGGACCUUGCCACAGAUCUACCCUCUUUGCCCAAUUACCUUGGAUCCACAAUGUCUCCUGGGAUUAUCUGCAUGUGGGUCCGAAAACUGCCUAAGACUAUGACAGAGAGGGACUUUCUUCUGCUUUUAAAAGGGCAACUAAGUAACUUUUAAUUCAAUUAACAUUUGAAUGACGUACUUUUUUACUUUUGUUUGAAUAACAUUUUACACUGGUAACUUUAAUUGUAUUUUAGUAAAAUCUUAUCAAAGUAACUGUACCUUUACUUGAGUACAUUAUUUUUGUAUUCUUACCACCUCUGAAAGCCAGAUGUACUAAAGACG